GGCGACUUUCCCUUUCCGGCUACGGGUCCCGGAGCGGAGCGGGAGGCCGGACCGGGGGAGCGGAGCGACGGCGGCGGCGGUGGGGUCGGCCAUGGCGGAAUUGGUGCAGGGGCAGAACGCUCCGGUGGGCAUGAAGGCUGAGGGCUUCGUGGAUGCCCUGCACCGGGUCCGGCAGAUUGCUGCUAAAAUUGAUUCAAUUCCUCACUUGAAUAAUUCCACACCCCUGGUGGACCCCUCGGUGUAAGGAUAUGGAGUACAGAAGCGGCCCCUGGAUGAUGGAGUAGGUAACCAGUUAGGGGCCUUGGUACAUCAAAGGGCAGUAAUAACAGAAGAAUUCAAAGUACCUGAUAAAAUGGUUGGAUUUAUUAUUGGCAGGGGAGGUGAGCAGAUUUCACGAAUUCAAGCGGAAUCUGGUUGCAAAAUUCAAAUUGCCUCAGAGAGUUCUGGGAUUCCAGAGAGGCCCUGUGUACUUACCGGAACCCCAGAAAGUAUUGAACAAGCCAAACGGCUCCUGGGGCAGAUUGUGGACCGCUGUCGGAAUGGACCCGGCUUUCACAAUGACAUAGAUGGCAACAGCACAAUCCAAGAGCUUCUCAUCCCUGCAUCUAAAGUGGGUCUGGUCAUCGGCAAAGGAGGGGAAACUAUCAAGCAAUUGCAGGAGCGGACAGGUGUGAAAAUGGUCAUGAUCCAGGAUGGCCCACUGCCCACAGGAGCAGACAAGCCUCUCCGCAUCACUGGAGAUCCAUUUAAAGUACAGCAAGCAAGAGAAAUGGUCCUAGAGAUCAUCCGAGAGAAAGACCAGGCUGACUUCCGGGGUGUGCGUGGCGAUUUCACCUCCCGAGCAGGAGGAGGUAGUAUAGAGGUGUCUGUGCCUAGGUUUGCUGUUGGGAUUGUCAUAGGAAGAAAUGGAGAAAUGAUCAAAAAGAUCCAGAAUGAUGCUGGCGUGAGGAUCCAGUUCAAACCAGACGACGGGAUUAGUCCAGAAAGAGCAGCACAGGUCAUGGGCCCUCCAGAUCGGUGUCAGCAUGCAGCGCACAUCAUCAAUGAACUCAUUCUAACAGCACAGGAAAGAGAUGGCCUUGGAGGCCUGGCGGUAGCUAGAGGAAGAGGUCGUGGCCGUGGGGACUGGAGUGUGGGCACUCCUGGUAGUGUCCAGGAAAUUACAUAUACAGUGCCAGCUGAUAAGUGUGGCCUUGUAAUAGGCAAAGGGGGCGAGAACAUCAAAAGCAUCAACCAGCAGUCAGGUGCACACGUGGAGCUUCAGCGGAACCCCCCUCCUAACACCGACCCCAACCUGCGGAUAUUUACCAUCCGGGGUGCUCCUCAGCAGAUCGAGGUGGCCAGGCAUCUCAUAGAUGAGAAAGUUGGCGUACGUACACGGGCCUUUCCCCACCUGGCUUAUACUAGCUGGAUUUGCUUUUGGAUGUCCAAGGGUGCCAGCCUCGGAGCCCCUGCAGCCUUUGGACAGAGCCCCUUCAGCCAGCCACCAGCUGCGCCACAUCAAAACGCCUUUCCUCCCAGGGGCUUCCCCAACAUGGCUGCUAAAGUUAACGGGAACCCCCACAGCACCCCUGUGAGGCCAGCAGAGCCAGCCACAGAGCAGCCAGCCCGACUACAGCAAGGCCUGGGAGGACUAUUACAAAAAGAGUCAUACCACCAGUGCUGCCCCUCAGGCCAGCUCCCCACCAGACUACUCGAUGGCCUGGGCGGAAUACUACAGGCAGCAGGCCGCCAUCUACGGGCAGAGUUUAGGGCAGGCUCAGGCCCACAGCCAGGUCUGUAGCCAGUCCCCAGCGCCAUGAUGCCACCCAGCCUUUGUGCUUGCCUAGUAGUCCCAGGGAGCAGUAGAUGGGCGUCUGCAGCGGCUCUUCCCCGAAAUCAGUGUGAGAGAAACCUGUUUGUUACAGAGAUUUUUAGAUUUGCAGACCUUUCAAUGAAGAACCUUUGUUUGUUCUGUGAAACACUAUAUUUAGAUUAACAGAGAUUUUCUAAAAAUCGGGAAAAUUAGUUACUAAACAUUGCUGGUAAUUUCUGUGUCAUGAUUUCUUUGUUACUCCAAUGUGUAAGCUCUGGGGUUCUGGAGCCAAACCUGCAAGCUCAGGUGCCCGGACCUCCUCAGAGUCCUGACGUUUCAUCAGAUAAUGGGUUUGUUUUUAUUGUUGUCUUUUUAUUUACAGGUUUUUUUGUUUGUUUGUUUCUGUUUUCUGUUGCAACAGAAAAAUGGCUUGGAAGUCUUAGGUGGUAAUGUAACAAAUUCUUUAAAAAAAUUUUAAGCAGUAUUUAAAUAUUCGUAAAUGUAAAUUCAUUAAGUGUUUCACCUCCAAUUUCUUGUAUCUUGGCUGUCCAGUUUUAUUGCGUUUUUUUUUAAACUGAACUAUUAUGUAUUGUAAUUAAUGAUGUGAAUUCUGAACUGAGACGGGUCCUUGUUGCGGGAGGGGCGUUUGUGGGUUGUGUCGUUUCUAGCGUUCUGAGGGUAAUGCAAAGACAGACACAGUCCACCUUCGUGUAAGCUGCCCAUCUCUAUUACCCGGUGCAGUUGUGUGUCUAAGACCUCCAAGCUGGUUUUAAAAACAAAAAGCCUUUCUCUAUUCUCAGAAAUAUAAAUACUGUUAUUUUUAAUAUUAAAAAGAAAUUCAAUAUAACUUUUAACAAACACUGUGGACAUUAAACCAUAUAAAAAUGUAGUAGCUAUUUUUUAAUUCCAAGGUGUUUUUUUGCUUUUUUCUUUUAAAUAUUUUCUUAAUAUUUGUCAAAUUAACUAGAUAAAUAAAUAAAUCUAGUAUUAACCACAGUAUGAGUUAAAUAAUUUUGAUUUAAUAAAAGGGAUAAUAUGAUUUCCAAUGUUUACUGUAGUGUAUCUUGUACAGAUAACAUGUAUUUUUAAAGAAAAAAAACUGAAUUGAAGCUAUUUUUUUCUUGCAUUUUGAAUUGACCCCGAGGAACAUUCCGUCUGAAAUGUGCUCUAGUUACAGUUUCCAGUUCUCUUGUUUCCUUACCAUGCUUGAAAUGUCUAACUAUUAAAAAAAAAAAAGGCAGUUGGAAAUGUUAUGCAUGUUUGUUUGUUUUUUAAGGUGUUCAUUUUAUUUGACUGACAAUUCAUUUUACACUCUAUAUAAUAAAAUUUCCACAAGAUAUCUUGUGGGCAAAGUGU
Molecule: RNA transcript, 3151 nt
Organism: Alexandromys fortis (reed vole)
Lineage: Eukaryota; Metazoa; Chordata; Mammalia; Rodentia; Cricetidae
Gene: Fubp3
Gene name: far upstream element binding protein 3
Exons: 18
Source: RefSeq, a predicted model, not a curated record